GACGAACGCUGGCGGCGUGCUUAACACAUGCAAGUCGAACGGAAAGGCCCUGCUUUUGUGGGGUGCUCGAGUGGCGAACGGGUGAGUAACACGUGAGUAACCUGCCCUUGACUUUGGGAUAACUUCAGGAAACUGGGGCUAAUACCGGAUAGGAGCUCCUGCUGCAUGGUGGGGGUUGGAAAGUUUCGGCGGUUGGGGAUGGACUCGCGGCUUAUCAGCUUGUUGGUGGGGUAGUGGCUUACCAAGGCUUUGACGGGUAGCCGGCCUGGGAGGGUGACCGGCCACCAUGGGACUGAGAUACGGCCCAGACUCCUACGGGGGGCAGCAGGGGGGAAUAUUGCACAAUGGGCGGGAGCCUGAUGCAACAACGCCGCGUGCGGGAUGACGGCCUUCGGGUUGUAAACCGCUUUCGCCUGUGACGAAGCGGGAGUGACGGUAAUGGGUAAAGAAGCACCGGCUAACUACGUG
RNAcentral lists this ribosomal RNA (468 nucleotides) under uncultured bacterium. RNAcentral's name for it is "partial 16S ribosomal RNA". It matches the Rfam family "Bacterial small subunit ribosomal RNA", at positions 28 to 507 of the family's 1533-position model. The record is from RNAcentral.